RNAcentral lists this ribosomal RNA (463 nucleotides) under uncultured Eubacteriales bacterium. Its description in RNAcentral is "bacterial SSU rRNA". It matches the Rfam family "Bacterial small subunit ribosomal RNA", at positions 916 to 1382 of the family's 1533-position model. The record is from RNAcentral. Lineage: Bacteria; Bacillati; Bacillota; Clostridia; Eubacteriales.
GGGACCCGCACAAGCAGCGGAGCAUGUGGUUUAAUUCGAAGCAACGCGAAGAACCUUACCAGGGCUUGACAUCCCUCUGACAGUCCCUUAACCGGGACCCUUCUUCGGACAGAGGAGACGAGGUGGUGCAUGGUUGUCGUCAGCUCGUGUCGUGAGAUGUUGGGUUAAGUCCCGCAACGAGCGCAACCCUUGUCUUUAGUUGCCAUCAUUCAGUUGGGCACUCUAGAGAGACUGCCGAGGACAACUCGGAGGAAGGUGGGAUGACGUCAAAUCAUCAUGCCCCUUAUGUCCUGGGCUACACACGUGCUACAAUGGCUGGUACAAAGAGACGCAAGACCGCGAGGUGGAGCAAAUCUCAAAAACCAGUCCCAGUUCGGAUUGCAGGCUGCAAUUCGCCUGCAUGAAGUCGGAAUCGCUAGUAAUCGCAGGUCAGCAUACUGCGGUGAAUACGUUCCCGGGCCUU